GAUGAAGAACGCAGCGAAAUGCGAUAAUUAAUGUGAAUUGUAGAAUUCCGUGAAUCAUCGAGUCUUUGAACGCACAUUGCGCCUCAUGGCAUUCCGUGAGGCAUGCCCAUCUCAGCGUUAGAAAAUAUUCUCAAAUUUUAGUUUUGUGCUAAAAUUUGGAUCAUGUCAAAGAAGCUAUUACUAUUAUUGUGAUCGCUCUUUGGAAAUUGAUAGGUCUUUGAGUUGCUACUCAUAGAACGUGAUGAAUCUUUCUUCGUUCUAUUGUAAUUCACUCUGGUAGUCCUAAAACUUGUAUGCCUGUGGCAUAUCUUGUAAUUUGACCUGAGAUUGGGUAGGGAUACCCGCUGAACUUAAGCAUAUCAAUAAGCGGAGGA
RNAcentral lists this unclassified non-coding RNA (374 nucleotides) under soil metagenome. RNAcentral describes it as "partial contains internal transcribed spacer 2 and large subunit ribosomal RNA". The stretch from base 1 to 120 matches the Rfam family "5.8S ribosomal RNA", at positions 35 to 154 of the family's 154-position model. The record is from RNAcentral.